This 62-nucleotide microRNA precursor is filed under the name Oreochromis niloticus (Nile tilapia). RNAcentral's name for it is "microRNA oni-mir-10922 precursor". Lineage: Eukaryota; Metazoa; Chordata; Actinopteri; Cichliformes; Cichlidae. The record is from miRBase by way of RNAcentral.
UGUGCAGCAUAGAGGAACCCAGACCUCAGCUUUGUCUCCCGGUUUCUGUUGCUGCUGUUGCA